Molecule: long non-coding RNA, 694 nt
Organism: Solanum verrucosum
Lineage: Eukaryota; Viridiplantae; Streptophyta; Magnoliopsida; Solanales; Solanaceae
Exons: 4
Source: RefSeq, a predicted model, not a curated record
UAGUGUCUUAAGUGUGUUUUAUCAAAUAAACAUUUUUUACUAUACCAUCUAAAUAAAGGUUUUUAUUCUUUUGUGGAUUCAUCUGUAAUUGUCAUUUUAUUACAAUUUUACUUGUACCAAUUUAUAAAAAAGAAAGGGCCUUACACUUGCUUAUCUAAGUGAUUCUAACAAUUUGUUUUAUGCUUGUGUUAGGUCCCAAACCGAUGAUAAUUUCACAAGUUACUUUGGGGAGGUUCCACCAAUUCUUGACUAUUUUUACUGCCAAACCUACCCAAAAAAUUCGCAGGAAUCGUCUAUACUCAGCAGCCACAGGCAAUUCAAUGAACACUAUCAAUCACAUCAUCACAAUAAUCAAUUGCCAACAGAUCUGUUUGUGAUGAAUCGACCUGAUGUGUCUCCAACCUCGAGGCAUGUGUUUGUUGAUGCAAGUACCAACGGCUUAAAUUACGUGAUUGACUAUUCACGUUGUAUAGUGCCAAGGCUGCAUCAAUCAUCUUAUCAUUCAGGAGUAUAUCUCAUCCCUAAUUUAUUUUCAGUAAUUUAACCAGUCUAGUUUUUAAAAUUAAAAUUUUCAAUAAAUGUGUAUAUGUAACCAUUUAAAAGUAGGUGUGCUAUGUUUCUAAAUGUUCAUCUUUUAUGGAAUGAAUGCAGAGAGAAGUUGUUGAGCAAGAACAUAGACAGAGCAGGAUAGAUU